UCCUUAAUGCAGCUCCUUAGGAACGGUCACAAGCCCGUGAGAAUGCAGAGUGAGGA
Molecule: non-coding RNA, 56 nt
Filed under: unclassified sequences
Source: RNAcentral